Molecule: ribosomal RNA, 254 nt
Filed under: uncultured bacterium
Lineage: Bacteria
Description: partial 16S ribosomal RNA
Rfam family: Bacterial small subunit ribosomal RNA
Source: RNAcentral
UACGUAGGGUGCAAGCGUUAAUCGGAAUUACUGGGCGUAAAGCGUGCGCAGGCGGCUUUGCAAGACAGAUGUGAAAUCCCCGGGCUUAACCUGGGAACUGCAUUUGUGACUGGCAGGCUUUGAGUGUGGCAGAGGGAGGUAGAAUUCCACGUGUAGCAGUGAAAUGCGUAGAGAUGUGGAGGAAUACCGAUGGCGAAGGCAGCCUCCUGGGCCAACACUGACGCUCAUGCACGAAAGCGUGGGGAGCAAACAGG